This 81-nucleotide transfer RNA is filed under the name Candidatus Uhrbacteria bacterium. RNAcentral describes it as "tRNA-Leu". It matches the Rfam family "tRNA". Rfam says of the family: Transfer RNA (tRNA) molecules are approximately 80 nucleotides in length. The record is from RNAcentral. Lineage: Bacteria; Candidatus Uhriibacteriota.
GGGCGGAUGGUGAAAUGGUAGACACGCAUGCCUUAGGAGCAUGUGCCGCAAGGUAUGAGAGUUCGAGUCUCUCUCCGCCCA